RNAcentral lists this small nuclear RNA (18 nucleotides) under Arabidopsis thaliana (thale cress). RNAcentral describes it as "snRNA_18929". The record is from RNAcentral. Lineage: Eukaryota; Viridiplantae; Streptophyta; Magnoliopsida; Brassicales; Brassicaceae.
AAGGACUUUGAAAAGAGA